GGGGCUAUAGCUCAGUGGUAGAGCAUUUGACUGCAAAUUAUCACAAAUAUGGUGGAUUAAAAAAACAGGAAUGUAUUCCUUCAUAGUCCUA
RNAcentral lists this transfer RNA (91 nucleotides) under Mustela putorius furo (domestic ferret). Lineage: Eukaryota; Metazoa; Chordata; Mammalia; Carnivora; Mustelidae. The record is from Rfam by way of RNAcentral.